UACAGUGACCAGGUGACGACGGAU
Molecule: microRNA, 24 nt
Filed under: Bos taurus (domestic cattle)
Lineage: Eukaryota; Metazoa; Chordata; Mammalia; Artiodactyla; Bovidae
Description: Bta-Mir-1329_5p (mature (guide))
Source: RNAcentral